CUACUAUCUAUGGUGUGGUGUCAGAAUGGAGGCUGGCUGUGAUUUCUAUAGGGUCUUGUACAUGCCAGAGGAGUGUUCUGCUACUGACCUACGUGGAAGUCUCUGGAGUCUUGCCAGAAUGUCGACUGUGGUUAGAUCUGAUUUGAAGACUAAAAAAGAAAAGACUAUAAUCUACCUUCCUGGUACAGGAUAGACAACCCAGAGACAGGUAAGAUUAACAUCAGUUCUAAUUUCUUUUAAAAUGUCAAAGAUUUAUUUUCCCAUUUUUGCAGGCUG
Molecule: long non-coding RNA, 276 nt
Filed under: Mus spicilegus (steppe mouse)
Lineage: Eukaryota; Metazoa; Chordata; Mammalia; Rodentia; Muridae
Description: lncRNA (ENSMSIG00000016895.1)
Source: RNAcentral